This 1245-nucleotide long non-coding RNA is filed under the name Monodelphis domestica (gray short-tailed opossum). RNAcentral describes it as "lncRNA (ENSMODG00000040815.1)". Lineage: Eukaryota; Metazoa; Chordata; Mammalia; Didelphimorphia; Didelphidae. The record is from RNAcentral.
GAUUCUAUGAACUCAAAAUUCUCCUGCUUGGUCCUUCAUAAGGCUUUGCCAUAAUUGCCAGAGACAGAUCAUAAAGUAUCCUGAGGCAAGACCAGGCUCCUUAAUAUACUGCCCCAGUCACUGUGCCUUCUUCCCGCUGUCCGCUUGGCUUUUAAUAAUGGUUUAAUGAAAAACCCAGAAUUAAUUGGAAGUGGCACCAGACACUCUCGGGGCUCACUGCAGGCUCCUUGACAUCCAUGUUUUAUAAGCCAUGUGCCAGAGUGAGUUUGCUGUUCUCAGUCCCUGAGGACGGUGAGUCAGAUGGGAGGAGGGCAGGGAUCAGGGAGAAAGGGAAAUGCUAAGCCCUGAUACAGUGGCUGAAUCCUUGGAGACCUCUUCUGGCAGGAAGAUAUUCCUUCCUAUAGCCAUCCCUUCUCUGAGUCCCUGCUGGGUCCCUUGCCCUAUGCCCAAGCUAAGAGGGAGGGCAAAGGUAAACAAAGCCCAGCCCAGAAAUCAUUUGAAUCCUUCCCCUCACUUUACAAAUGAGGAAACUGAGGCUCAGAAAGGCCAAAAAAUCUUGCUCCAGAUCACACAGCUAGUUAAUAGCAGAGCCAGGAAGUCAACUUGUUCCACUGCCCAGAAUUAUAACAGGGAGCAGCGAACUGCCCUAAAGACGAUGGUUGAGUGGGUCUGACCAAGAUAACUGCCACCUUUCCAGAAGCAGCCAUGAGACUGACACAGACCUGGGCACACAGGAAAUCUUAGAAUGAAGUGAUUCUGAGGAGUAGAAGGCUACAAACCAUCAUGGGAAAAAAGUGUUGGACUUGCAAUUAAAGACGUGGAUUUAAGUCUCAGCUUUCCUGUUGUUAACUGUAUAAUCCUGUUUUUUUUAUUUAUUUGUUUGUUUUAAUCUUUUAUUAUCAUCACCAUCCAGCUUUCUGUGCCAUGUUAUGUGCCCACCCAAAGAUCAGCUCUUCUAAAGAGCUCCUACAUAAUAUUUCUUUCAUGUUUCAAGAGGUGAAAAUGACCAUACAAGGUUAAGUACAAAAAUACAUAAGAUAGUGUUCACAAAAUAGCCCUAUGGGAGAUCUGGCCCCACCUGCAGCUUUAUAUUUGUUUGAGAAGUAGGACUGGUUAAACUAAAAAAUGUGGUCCUUCUGUACUUCUGGCAGGCUUAAUGGAAGUGACCUUAACCUGGCUUACAGCUCUAACGCCACUCUCACUGAUCUGGUAUUUACCAAAAAAAUAAAAAAAAUGUAUUUUCCA